Molecule: small nuclear RNA, 108 nt
Organism: Hippopotamus amphibius kiboko
Lineage: Eukaryota; Metazoa; Chordata; Mammalia; Artiodactyla; Hippopotamidae
Source: RefSeq, a predicted model, not a curated record
UUGCUAACUUCAGCAGCAGAUAUACUUAGAAUUGGAAUGGUACAGAGAAGAUAAGCAUGGCCCCUGUGCAAGGAUAACACAGAAAUUUGUGAAGCAUUUCAUAUUUUU